UACGGAGGGUGCGAGCGUUAAUCGGAAUUACUGGGCGUAAAGCGCGCGUAGGCGGUUAGUUAAGUCGGAUGUGAAAGCCCUGGGCUCAACCUGGGAACUGCAUUCGAUACUGGCCAACUAGAGUGCGAGAGAGGGAGGUAGAAUUCCACGUGUAGCGGUGAAAUGCGUAGAUAUGUGGAGGAAUACCGGUGGCGAAGGCGGCCUCCUGGCUCGACACUGACGCUGAGGGACGAAAGCGUGGGGAGCGAACAGG
Molecule: ribosomal RNA, 253 nt
Filed under: uncultured bacterium
Lineage: Bacteria
Description: partial 16S ribosomal RNA
Rfam family: Bacterial small subunit ribosomal RNA
Source: RNAcentral